UACGAAGGGGGCUAGCGUUGCUCGGAAUCACUGGGCGUAAAGCGCACGUAGGCGGCUUUUUAAGUCAGGGGUGAAAUCCUGGAGCUCAACUCCAGAACUGCCUUUGAUACUGAGAAGCUUGAGUCCGGGAGAGGUGUGUGGAACUGCGAGUGUAGAGGUGAAAUUCGUAGAUAUUCGCAAGAACACCAGUGGCGAAGGCGGCUGACUGGUCCGGAUCUGACGCUGAGGCGCGAAAGCGUGGGGAGCAAACAGG
RNAcentral lists this ribosomal RNA (253 nucleotides) under uncultured bacterium. RNAcentral's name for it is "partial 16S ribosomal RNA". It matches the Rfam family "Bacterial small subunit ribosomal RNA", at positions 524 to 776 of the family's 1533-position model. The record is from RNAcentral.